Molecule: long non-coding RNA, 457 nt
Organism: Vidua chalybeata
Lineage: Eukaryota; Metazoa; Chordata; Aves; Passeriformes; Viduidae
Exons: 4
Source: RefSeq, a predicted model, not a curated record
GCACCCCGUGAGGGCACGGAGCCGCUUAAAGGGCCCCCGCGGCCUGCCCCGCUGUCGGAAACGACAGAACGCCUUCCUAAUUGCAGGAGGAGGACUAAAGCCAGCUCCUUUCAGCAGAAGGGAAACACAGGCACUCGUUCCUACAGUGGGGCACCAGACAGAGGGAGCAAGAUCUCUGGGCAUGAGGAUUUGGCAAGUUAACAAACAUUCACUACAAGAGAGAGAAACGGCACAGAGGGUAUCACCUGGCAAGGGACAGGAUUCGGGAAACAAAAAAGCAACAUUGUGAGAAAAAAAAAAGGCAGACAAAACAAGUUGAAGAGAAACAUUACACUGUCAUGGAGCAUGGAACUGUUCUUACAGCGUUAAUAAGCAAGGGCUCCAGUUCCAGCAUAAAUUUUACUGACAGAAUCACCAUUCACAGACCACAUGGAUCGGAAAACUUCCUGAAAGCGAG